ACGGGAGGCAGCAGUGAGGAAUAUUGGUCAAUGGGCGGAAGCCUGAACCAGCCAAGUCGCGUGAGGGAAGACGGCCCUACGGGUUGUAAACCUCUUCUGCGCGGGGGUAAAGUCGGGGACGUGUCCCCGAUUGCAAGUACCGCGCGAAAAAGGAUCGGCUAACUCCGUGCCAGCAGCCGCGGUAAUACGGGGGAUACGAGCGUUAUCCGGAUUUAUUGGGUUUAAAGGGUGCGCAGGCGGAUCGGUAAGUCAGGGGUGAAAAGUUGGGGCUCAACUCCAAUCGUGCCUUUGAUACUGCCGGACUAGAGUGCGAUAGACGUGGCCGGAAUGUGAUGUGUAGCGGUGAAAUGCUUAGAUAUGUCACAGAACACCGAUCGAGAAGUCAGGUCACGAGCUCGCAACUGACGCUCAGGCACGAAAGCGUGGGGAUCAAACAGGAUUAGAUACCCUGGUA
This 454-nucleotide ribosomal RNA is filed under the name uncultured bacterium. RNAcentral's name for it is "partial 16S ribosomal RNA". It matches the Rfam family "Bacterial small subunit ribosomal RNA", at positions 341 to 792 of the family's 1533-position model. The record is from RNAcentral.